RNAcentral lists this ribosomal RNA (198 nucleotides) under uncultured bacterium. RNAcentral describes it as "partial 16S ribosomal RNA". It matches the Rfam family "Bacterial small subunit ribosomal RNA", at positions 328 to 539 of the family's 1533-position model. The record is from RNAcentral.
ACGCUCGACACCUACGUGAGGCAGCAGUGGGGAAUAUUGCACAAUGGGGGAAACCCUGAUGCAGCGACGCCGCGUGAAGGAAGAAGUAUUUCGGUAUGUAAAGCUCUAUCAGCAGGGAAGAAAAUGACGGUACCUGAGUAAGAAGCCCCGGCUAACUACGUGCCAGCAGCCGCGGUAAUCUGAGCGGGCUGGCAAGGC